GAGUUACUGCAGCAAAGGUGCGUACCUGAACCCGGUUUUGCACUUGCWGACAGUAAGCCGGCUUCGCAACUUGCGAUUAAUCCCCGUUUAUCUCCGGUUCCCGGAGCAUGGUUAUUCCAUAAGGCGUAGGUUCUCAAGUUCGUGGUGCGGUACCGGGUUCAUGGGCCCGCACGUGUCCUAUACCCUGUGUUGCCCACGAAGCUCCAGAUUGGGCGUGGUGUCGGUAUUUUCCGUAUCGUGUUCCGUCUUUUCCCUGUAAGCCCCGUUAUCUGACGGAAGCAUUGUCCAUACGUUGUGUCUCUUGGCCGUGUUCAGUUCCGUUUAGCCGUGAACUCGGGUGGUGACUUUUCCGCGUUUCCUCUACAACAGCGACGGGCUCGUCCCUAGGUUGUACGGGAAUCUGCGGAUA
Molecule: unclassified non-coding RNA, 409 nt
Filed under: Pterodiscus kellerianus
Lineage: Eukaryota; Viridiplantae; Streptophyta; Magnoliopsida; Lamiales; Pedaliaceae
Description: partial external transcribed spacer
Source: RNAcentral